CUGAAAGACUGACUCUGAGUCACUGUUAAGACGGUCGCAAUGAUUCAUAGCUCAGAAGCAAUGGCUAACAGCAGGAACAAGGCUGAAACGGUGCAUGCCUGUGUGUCUGUGAGAGCAGCUGAACGGUUCCCAGGAUCUCGGCUAGAAAGUGAAGUCUCCUGACUCUCCAGUGCAACAGCAGCAGAUUUACUCAAGUCUAUAUUUUGGACGGGAGUUUACUUACGGACAACUCUGGUUACCAUGGAAGCAACAUUGGCCCAGGGGUUCUGGAAGCAUGGCGUCACAACUGCAGAGGCAAAGAGCUGAGUAGGAUGGAAAGACAAACUAAAAGUUAACAAAAGAAGGACCAAAACAAAAACACACUAAGCCAAAACUUCCAAAACACAGUACCGGGGGGGUCCCCUUUGUAUGCUGUUUUCUUUUGUGUGUUUGUUUCAGAGAAUCCCAUUAUUUAAUAAAAUUAAUUUUAAAUG
Molecule: long non-coding RNA, 473 nt
Organism: Anguilla rostrata (American eel)
Lineage: Eukaryota; Metazoa; Chordata; Actinopteri; Anguilliformes; Anguillidae
Exons: 3
Source: RefSeq, a predicted model, not a curated record